AAACCAACAGGGAUUGCCUUAGUAGCGGCGAGUGAAGCGGCAAAAGCUCAAAUUUGAAAUCUGGCGCCUUCGGUGUCCGAGUUGUAAUUUGAAGAUUGUAACCUUGGGGUUGGCUCUUGUCUAUGUUUCUUGGAACAGGACGUCACAGAGGGUGAGAAUCCCGUGCGAUGAGAUGCCCAAUUCUAUGUAAGGUGCUUUCGAAGAGUCGAGUUGUUUGGGAAUGCAGCUCUAAGUGGGUGGUAAAUUCCAUCUAAAGCUAAAUAUUGGCGAGAGACCGAUAGCGAACAAGUACAGUGAUGGAAAGAUGAAAAGAACUUUGAAAAGAGAGUGAAAAAGUACGUGAAAUUGUUGAAAGGGAAGGGUUUGAGAUCAGACUCGAUAUUUUGUGAGCCUUGCCUUCGUGGCGGGGUGACCCGCAGCUUAUCGGGCCAGCAUCGGUUUGGGCGGUAGGAUAAUGGCGUAGGAAUGUGACUUUACUUCGGUGAAGUGUUAUAGCCUGCGUUGAUGCUGCCUGCCUAGACCGAGGACUGCGAUUU
This 536-nucleotide ribosomal RNA is filed under the name Meyerozyma guilliermondii. RNAcentral describes it as "eukaryotic LSU rRNA". It matches the Rfam family "Eukaryotic large subunit ribosomal RNA", at positions 62 to 603 of the family's 3401-position model. The record is from RNAcentral. Lineage: Eukaryota; Fungi; Ascomycota; Pichiomycetes; Serinales; Debaryomycetaceae.